RNAcentral lists this ribosomal RNA (372 nucleotides) under uncultured organism. RNAcentral's name for it is "bacterial SSU rRNA". It matches the Rfam family "Bacterial small subunit ribosomal RNA", at positions 526 to 896 of the family's 1533-position model. The record is from RNAcentral.
CGGGGGGGGCAAGCGUUGUUCGGAAUUACUGGGCGUAAAGGGCUCGUAGGCGGCCAACUAAGUCAGACGUGAAAUCCCUCGGCUUAACCGGGGAACUGCGUCUGAUACUGGAUGGCUAGAGGUUGGGAGAGGGAUGCGGAAUUCCAGGUGUAGCGGUGAAAUGCGUAGAUAUCUGGAGGAACACCGGUGGCGAAGGCGGCAUCCUGGACCAAUUCUGACGCUGAGGAGCGAAAGCCAGGGGAGCAAACGGGAUUAGAUACCCCGGUAGUCCUGGCCCUAAACGAUGAAUGCUUGGUGUGGCGGGUAUCGAUCCCUGCCGUGCCGAAGCUAACGCAUUAAGCAUUCCGCCUGGGGAGUACGGUCGCAAGGCUG